Molecule: small nuclear RNA, 170 nt
Organism: Carassius gibelio (silver crucian carp)
Lineage: Eukaryota; Metazoa; Chordata; Actinopteri; Cypriniformes; Cyprinidae
Product: U1 spliceosomal RNA
Exons: 1
Source: RefSeq, a predicted model, not a curated record
AUACUUACCUGGCAGGGGAGACACCAUGAUCAAGAAGGCGGUUCACCCAGGGCGAGGCUUGUCCAUUGCACUCCGGCCAUGCUGACCCCUGCGAAUUCCCCAAAUGCGGGAAUCUCGACUGCAUAAUUUAUGGUAGUGGGGGACUGCGUUCGUUAAGGUGAGGUCUUUUA